Molecule: long non-coding RNA, 372 nt
Filed under: Pan troglodytes (chimpanzee)
Lineage: Eukaryota; Metazoa; Chordata; Mammalia; Primates; Hominidae
Description: long non-coding RNA NONPTRT003953
Source: RNAcentral
GGCCUGGAGAAGCAACUCUUGAGCAGAGGGACUACAGAAAAAACAUAAAGCAGUUUUGACUUUGGAGGAAUUUAGGAAGGCAAGAUGAGGAUACACAAAUCAGUGCAAGUGCCUAUUGCAUGAGUAUUAAUUAGCAGUGCCAAUAGCAUAUUUUAGGUGCUUUGGAAAUGCAAUAGUACUCUAAGUGAGAGACUCACAGAGGAAGAGGGAAAGCCAGAGAGAAAGGCUAGAAGCUGUUUGAUCAGCUGCCUCUUUCCACCUGAGGUUUUCCUUCCAAAGUGAACCUUGGAGAUUUAUAGAUAUUUCACUUCAAGAUAGCCUCUACCACCACUACCGCCACACUACCCAAUCACUAGGGGCCUUCAACUGUUU